AGGGAAGAGUUUCAACAUAUGAAGAUGAAGGAUGGACAUUUCAAGCAGAGGAACAGCAGCAUCAAAGGACAAGUGAUAAACAGUAUUGCUGCUUACAAGAAAGCUUGAGUUACAACAUUCUUCUUGAACACUGAUGGAAAUGUCUAACUAAGGUUCUCUGAACUCAUAUGGGGACACAAAAUUAAAGAGAGAAGGACUCUGAGCAACAGUGAAAAAGCUUUGUUUCUGGAACCUGGCAACAUGGGUUCAAAUCCUGACCACAUCCUCAUCAGUUUGACAAUUUGUGAAGACCAUCUGAGACUCAGUUUCCCUAUCUGUAAGAUGGACAUAUAAGUAGUAAUUGUCUAAUAUGGGAGGUUAUAAAGAUUCAAAGAAAUAUUCUAAGUAAAAUAUUUACUGUGACACCUGGUGCACACUGAUCAUUAAAUAAAUGCUUGAUUGUAUGUAUGUGCAAUAUGUCACAUUAUCUGAUUUUUU
Molecule: long non-coding RNA, 477 nt
Organism: Canis lupus familiaris (dog)
Lineage: Eukaryota; Metazoa; Chordata; Mammalia; Carnivora; Canidae
Exons: 3
Source: RefSeq, a predicted model, not a curated record